Molecule: ribosomal RNA, 219 nt
Filed under: uncultured bacterium
Lineage: Bacteria
Description: partial 16S ribosomal RNA
Rfam family: Bacterial small subunit ribosomal RNA
Source: RNAcentral
CACGUGAGCAACCUGCCGAUCUGAGGGGAUAGCCGGCCCAACGGCCGGGUAAUACCGCAUACGCUUCUUGAGGGACAUCCCUUGGGAAGGAAACCUCCGGGGCAGAUCGAGGGGCUCGCGGCCUAUCAGCUAGUUGGUGAGGUAACGGCUCACCAAGGCAUCGACGGGUAGCUGGUCUGAGAGGAUGGCCAGCCACAUUGGGACUGAGAGACGGCCCAG